Molecule: long non-coding RNA, 291 nt
Filed under: Gallus gallus (chicken)
Lineage: Eukaryota; Metazoa; Chordata; Aves; Galliformes; Phasianidae
Source: RNAcentral
GGGAGCUGUUGAAGCCGGGGGACGGCGCGUUGUUGACGUAGGUGAUCUCAGGCCAUGGAGAGCACUCGGUGAGGAUGGUGGUCUCAUAGGAGGGCUGGUACUUCUCCUUCUCAUGUGGGGUGCGCUUCUCCAUCUUCUCACGGUCCGUCUUCUGCUUCCGAUCGGCUCCUUUGGGCUUGAACACCUUGAUCUGGCAGCUGGCUGAGUGCAGGUGCUCUGUGUACUCCCCGUUCUCGUUCUCCUUGAAGGUGUCGAUCUGCACCCGGAAUGGCACUCCCUUUUCCCCCCCGU